This 202-nucleotide unclassified non-coding RNA is filed under the name Hevea brasiliensis (rubber tree). The record is from RNAcentral. Lineage: Eukaryota; Viridiplantae; Streptophyta; Magnoliopsida; Malpighiales; Euphorbiaceae.
UCAUCACCCGACACUUCUCUGCUCCUUUCCUUUUCUCUUCAAUGGCGACUCUGCAACAACAACUCCUCAAACCUUCAUGGACCUCCUCUCUCUUCGCUUCCUCCUCUCCUCGCCAUUCCCUCUCUCAACCCCAACUUCAGUCUCGAACUCUUACUUCCACCACGCCUAAAGCUUCUCUUCAGAAUUCUUCCAUCAAUCGCCG